Molecule: ribosomal RNA, 377 nt
Filed under: uncultured bacterium
Lineage: Bacteria
Description: bacterial SSU rRNA
Rfam family: Bacterial small subunit ribosomal RNA
Source: RNAcentral
GCCAGACUCCUACGGGAGGCAGCAGUGAGGGAUAUUGGUCAAUGGGGGAAACCCUGAACCAGCAACGCCGCGUGAGGGAAGACGGUUUUCGGAUUGUAAACCUCUGUCCUCUGUGAAGAUAAUGACGGUAGCAGAGGAGGAAGCUCCGGCUAACUACGUGCCAGCAGCCGCGGUAAUACGUAGGGAGCAAGCGUUGUCCGGAUUUACUAGGUGUAAAGGGUGCGUAGGCGACCCUGCAAGUCAGAAGUGAAAUCCAUGGGCUUAGCCCGUGAACUGCUUUUGAAACUGUAGGGCUUGAGUGAAGUAGAGGCAGGCGAAAUUCCCGGCGUAGCGGUGAAAUGCGUAGAGAUCGGGAGAAACACCAGUGGCGAAGGCGG